UAUAGUCUAGCCUGCUCACUGAUAAAAUUAUUAAAUAGCCGCGGUAUCUUGACCGUGCAAAGGUAGCAUAAUCAUUAGUUUUUUAAUUGGAAACUAGCAUGAAUGGUUGGACAAAGAAAAAGCUGUCUCUUUCAUUAAAAUUGAAUUUAACUUCUAAGUGAAAAGGCUUAGAUAUCUUAGAGGGACGAUAAGACCCUAUAAAGCUUUAUAAAUUCAAAGAUUUUAUAUAUUUUUUUUAAUAAUGAUAAUUUUUCAAAAAUUUAUUGGGUUGGGGCAACAGAAGUAUAAUUAUCAAUAACUGCUAUAAAGUAUUACAAUUAUUUUUGUUAUUAGAGAGUUGUUGAUCCUCGAAAGGGAUUAAAAGAUCAAGUUACUUUAGGGAUAACAGCGUAAUUUAUCUUGAGAGUUCUUAUCAAAGGAUAAGUUUGCGACCUCGAUGUUGAAUUAAAAUGUCUUUAUAGUGCAGCAGCUAUACAAGAAGGUCUGUUCG
This 490-nucleotide ribosomal RNA is filed under the name Portunus reticulatus. RNAcentral's name for it is "partial large subunit ribosomal RNA". It matches the Rfam family "Bacterial large subunit ribosomal RNA", at positions 1846 to 2583 of the family's 2925-position model. Lineage: Eukaryota; Metazoa; Arthropoda; Malacostraca; Decapoda; Portunidae. The record is from RNAcentral.